UGGGGAAUUUUGGACAAUGGGCGAAAGCCUGAUCCAGCAAUGCCGCGUGUGUGAAGAAGGCCUUCGGGUUGUAAAGCACUUUUGUCCGGAAAGAAAUGGCUCUGGUUAAUACCUGGGGUCGAUGACGGUACCGGAAGAAUAAGGACCGGCUAACUACGUGCCAGCAGCCACGGUAAUACGUAGGGUCCAAGCGUUAAUCGGAAUUACUGGGCGUAAAGCGUGCGCAGGCGGUUGUGCAAGACCGAUGUGAAAUCCCCGAGCUUAACUUGGGAAUUGCAUUGGUGACUGCACGGCUAGAGUGUGUCAGAGGGGGGUAGAAUUCCACGUGUAGCAGUGAAAUGCGUAGAGAUGUGGAGGAAUACCGAUGGCGAAGGCAGCCCCCUGGGAUAACACUGACGCUCAUGCACGAAAGCGUGGGGAGCAAACAGG
RNAcentral lists this ribosomal RNA (429 nucleotides) under Bacillota bacterium. RNAcentral's name for it is "Firmicutes bacterium partial 16S ribosomal RNA". It matches the Rfam family "Bacterial small subunit ribosomal RNA", at positions 355 to 776 of the family's 1533-position model. The record is from RNAcentral. Lineage: Bacteria; Bacillati; Bacillota.